ACAUUGAAAUUCCUUUCUCCAAAGACAGAGCGCUGGACAGAAUGGUGCACAGAAUCCUCCUACAAUACCAACAAAAAGGACAAUAAGGAUCCUAUCUAACACACAGUCAGCUGGAUACUGACAGUUCAAAAACAAAAAAAAGUGUGAAGUGACAUAAACCAAGAACAGCUGCAUGCUCUGAACCUUCAGCCAACAGUCAAGUACAAGUGACUUGACCCUUGCAGGAUUCCCAUGGGCAGAGGAAAAAUGUAGCAGUGAAGACAGACAUGACUAACAAUGCUGAGAGUUUUGCCAGACUUCAAGCAAUACUACUGGAAUUUACUUCAGUCUUCAAACAGAGAUACAUCACAGAACUUCUCAGA
Long non-coding RNA from Harpia harpyja (harpy eagle), 362 nucleotides. RefSeq lists it as uncharacterized. The transcript has 3 exons. The record is from RefSeq and is a predicted model, not a curated record. Lineage: Eukaryota; Metazoa; Chordata; Aves; Accipitriformes; Accipitridae.